This 312-nucleotide long non-coding RNA is filed under the name Carica papaya (papaya). RNAcentral describes it as "long non-coding RNA (CPAP_LNC016626)". The record is from RNAcentral. Lineage: Eukaryota; Viridiplantae; Streptophyta; Magnoliopsida; Brassicales; Caricaceae.
UGAACCUAAUAUUUAAACUUGUUAACUAACCAGCCGUCUCCAUAUCUCAUCUGGUAUGAGCGCCAAAAAUACCAUCCCUCAAUACCCCGUCCGGUAUGAAGGUGAAUCAGGCUGUCACCAUACUCCGUCUGGCAUGAAUGCCAAAAAUACUAUCUCUCGGUACCCAUUCCAGUAUAAGGUAACGUUCAUGGUAAGGUUCCAUAUGUACCUUAUUCAUCCACAAUUUCUCAAGAUAUUCAAUAAGACAGCCAUAUCCCAAGUUUUCAUGACAUUGAUAAUCGCGGCAAGUUCUAAGUUAUAGAUGUGGUAGUU